This 497-nucleotide ribosomal RNA is filed under the name uncultured bacterium. RNAcentral's name for it is "partial 16S ribosomal RNA". It matches the Rfam family "Bacterial small subunit ribosomal RNA", at positions 28 to 507 of the family's 1533-position model. The record is from RNAcentral.
GAUGAACGCUGGCGGCGUGCCUAAUACAUGCAAGUCGAGCGAACAGACGAGGAGCUUGCUCCUCUGACGUUAGCGGCGGACGGGUGAGUAACACGUGGAUAACCUACCUAUAAGACUGGGAUAACUUCGGGAAACCGGAGCUAAUACCGGAUAAUAUAUUGAACCGCAUGGUUCAAUAGUGAAAGACGGUUUUGCUGUCACUUAUAGACGGAUCCGCGCCGCAUUAGCUAGUUGGUAAGGUAACGGCUUACCAAGGCAACGAUGCGUAGCCGACCUCAGAGGGUGAUCGGCCACACUGGAACUGAGACACGGUCCAGACUCCUACGGGAGGCAGCGGUAGCGAAUCUUCCGUAAUGGGCGGAAGCCUGACGGUGCAACGCCGCGUGAGUGAUGAAGGUCUUCGGAUCGUAAAGCUCUGUUAUUAGGGAAGACCAAAUGUGUAAGUAACUAUGCACGUCUUGCCGGUACCUAAUCAGAAAGCCACGGCUAACUACGUG